GAUUAAGUAAAUAACUUUCCGUAGAAAGUAGGUACCUUAUGGUGUAACGUUAUACAACCUGCCGAGGAAGACGAUAUAUAUAUUAUUUAGUAUAUAAAGGUCUCUUCGUGCGUCUACGGAGAGACCUUUAAUUAUAUAAAA
This is a regulatory RNA element of Clostridium cellulovorans 743B, 141 nucleotides long. It matches the Rfam family "Ribosomal protein L10 leader". Rfam says of the family: This family is a putative r-protein leader autoregulatory structure found in B. subtilis and other low-GC Gram-positive bacteria. Lineage: Bacteria; Bacillati; Bacillota; Clostridia; Eubacteriales; Clostridiaceae. The record is from Rfam.